RNAcentral lists this unclassified non-coding RNA (310 nucleotides) under uncultured Sordariomycetes. Its description in RNAcentral is "sequence contains ITS1". The stretch from base 1 to 105 matches the Rfam family "5.8S ribosomal RNA", at positions 50 to 154 of the family's 154-position model. The record is from RNAcentral. Lineage: Eukaryota; Fungi; Ascomycota; Sordariomycetes.
GAAAUGCGAUAAGUAAUGUGAAUUGCAGAAUUCAGCGAAUCAUCGAAUCUUUGAACGCACAUUGCGCCUAUUAGUAUUCUAGUGGGCAUGCCUGUUCGAGCGUCAUUUCAACCCUCAGGCCCGUAUAGGUCUGGCGUUGGGGCCUUUUGCUGUCCAGCAAGCCCUGAAAACAAGUGGCGGGCCCGCUGAGACCCCGAGCGCAGUAGUUUACACCAUCGCUUAGGGACGUCCGGCGGGCGACACCAGCCGUAAAAGCACUUCAAGUCUACAGGUUGACCUCGGAUCAGGUAGGAAUACCCGCUGAACUUAA